Molecule: ribosomal RNA, 422 nt
Filed under: uncultured bacterium
Lineage: Bacteria
Description: partial 16S ribosomal RNA
Rfam family: Bacterial small subunit ribosomal RNA
Source: RNAcentral
GAAUUUUGGACAAGGGGCGAAAGCCUGACCCAGCCAGGCCGCGCGCAGGAUGAAGGCCUGCGGGUGGUAAACUGCUGUUGUACGGAAGGAAAGGCUUUGGGUUAAUACUCUGGAGUCAUGACGGUACCGUAAGAAUAAGCACCGGCUAACUCCGUGCCAGCAGCCGCGGUAAUACGUAGGGUGCAAGCGUUAAUCGGAAUUAUUGGGCGGAAAGCGUGCGCAGGCGGUUUUGUAAGACAGGGGUGAAAUCCCCGGGCUCAACCUGGGAACUGCCUUUGUGACUGCAAGGCUAGAAUAGGGCAGAGGGGGGUGGAAUUCCGCGUGUAGCAGUGAAAUGCGUAGAUAUGCGGAGGAACACCGAUGGCGAAGGCAACCCCCUGGGCCUGUACUGACGCUCAUGCACGAAAGCGUGGGGAGCAAAC